AGAACGAACGCUGGCGGCAUGCCUAACACAUGCAAGUCGAACGCUCCUGGAGCUUCGGUCUCAGGGGAGUGGCGCACGGGUGAGUAGCGCGUGGGAACCUGCCCUGUUGUGGGGGAUAACCGAGGGAAACUUCGGCUAAUACCGCAUAAGCCGGGAAACCGGGAAAGAUUUAUCGCGACAGGAGGGGCCCGCGUCGGAUUAGCUAGUUGGUGGGGUAACGGCCCACCAAGGCAGUGAUCCGUAGCUGGUCUGAGAGGAUGAUCAGCCACACUGGGACUGAGACACGGCCCAGACUCCUACGGGAGGCAGCAGUGGGAAUAUUGGACAAUGGGCGCAAGCCUGAUCCAGCAAUGCCGCGUGAGUGAUGAAGGCCUUAGGGUUGUAAAGCUCUUUCGCCGCGACGAUGAUGGACGGUAGCGGGAGAAGGACGCCCGGCUAACUUCGCGCCAGCAGCCGC
RNAcentral lists this ribosomal RNA (457 nucleotides) under uncultured bacterium. RNAcentral describes it as "SSU rRNA". It matches the Rfam family "Bacterial small subunit ribosomal RNA", at positions 26 to 518 of the family's 1533-position model. The record is from RNAcentral.